AUGGGUAUGGCCGAGUGGUCUAAGGCGAUGGUCUUAAGUUACGUAACUCAUCACCAUUAUCGAGAGAUAUCGAGGGUUCGAAUCCCUCUGCCCAUA
This 96-nucleotide transfer RNA is filed under the name Neonectria ditissima. It matches the Rfam family "tRNA". From Rfam's summary of the family: Transfer RNA (tRNA) molecules are approximately 80 nucleotides in length. Their secondary structure includes four short double-helical elements and three loops (D, anti-codon, and T loops). Lineage: Eukaryota; Fungi; Ascomycota; Sordariomycetes; Hypocreales; Nectriaceae. The record is from Rfam by way of RNAcentral.